This 301-nucleotide ribosomal RNA is filed under the name uncultured bacterium. RNAcentral describes it as "partial 16S ribosomal RNA". It matches the Rfam family "Bacterial small subunit ribosomal RNA", at positions 509 to 807 of the family's 1533-position model. The record is from RNAcentral.
CAGUAGCCGCGGUAAUACGAGGGGGGCAAGCGUUGUUCGGAAUUAUUGGGCGUAAAGGGUGCGUAGGCGGUUUGGCAAGUUUGAUGUGAAAUCCCCGGGCUCAACCUGGGAAUGGCAAUGGAUACUGGCGAGCUAGAGUGUGUCAGAGGAUGGUGGAAUUCCCGGUGUAGCGGUGAAAUGCGUAGAGAUCGGGAGGAACAUCAGUGGCGAAGGCGGCCACCUGGGACAACACUGACGCUGAGGUACGAAAGCGUGGGGAGCAAACAGGAUUAGAUACCCCUGUAGUCCCUGUCUCUUAUAC